Non-coding RNA from Megalops atlanticus (tarpon), 79 nucleotides. NCBI's taxonomy places the organism in Eukaryota, Metazoa, Chordata, Actinopteri, Elopiformes, Megalopidae. The record is from the annotation of a GenBank genome assembly.
GGCAGUGUAGCAUAGUGGUUAAGGAGUAGGACUUGUAACCGUAAGGUUGCUGGUUUAAUUCCCCACCAGGGCACUGCUG